RNAcentral lists this unclassified non-coding RNA (229 nucleotides) under plant metagenome. Its description in RNAcentral is "partial contains small subunit ribosomal RNA, internal transcribed spacer 1, and 5.8S ribosomal RNA". The record is from RNAcentral.
UCUCCGUAGGUGAACCUGCGGAGGGAUCAUUACAGAGUUCAUGCCCUACCGGGUAGAUCUCCCACCCUAUGUUAUUAUUACUUUGUUGCUUUGGCGGGCCGUUAGGCUCCGGCCCGACUACCGGCCCCGGCUGGUAAGCGCCCGCCAGAGGACCCAAAACCCUGAAUAUUAGUGUCGUCUGAGUACUAUAUAAUAGUUUAAACUUUCAACAACGGAUCUCCUGGUUCUG